Molecule: ribosomal RNA, 209 nt
Filed under: uncultured bacterium
Lineage: Bacteria
Description: partial 16S ribosomal RNA
Rfam family: Bacterial small subunit ribosomal RNA
Source: RNAcentral
UACGGAGGGGUGCGAGCGUUGUCCGGUGAAUCAUUGGGCGUAAAGGGCGCGUUAGGUGGCGGCUUAAGCGUGCGGUGAAAGCUCGGGCCUCAAGCCCCGAGUCGGCGUGCGAACUGAGUCGCUUGAGCAGCUGUGAGAGGCAGGCGGAAUUCCGGGUGUAGCGGUGGAAUGCGUAGAGAGUCCGGAAGAACACCGGUGGCGAAGGCGGC